RNAcentral lists this ribosomal RNA (198 nucleotides) under uncultured bacterium. RNAcentral's name for it is "partial 16S ribosomal RNA". It matches the Rfam family "Bacterial small subunit ribosomal RNA", at positions 328 to 539 of the family's 1533-position model. The record is from RNAcentral.
ACGCUCGACACCUACGUGAGGCAGCAGUGGGGAAUAUUGCACAAUGGGGGAAACCCUGAUGCAGCGACGCCGCGUGAAGGAAGAAGUAUUUCGGUAUGUAAACUUCUAUCAGCAGGGAAGAAAAUGACGGUACCUGACUAAGAAGCCCCGGCUAACUACGUGCCAGCAGCUGCGGUAAUCUGAGCGGGCUGGCAAGGC